GUCCGCACCGUAAACGAUGAUUACUCGUUGUUGGCGAUAUGACAGUCAGCGACCAAGCGAAAGCGAUAAGUAAUCCACCUGGGGAGUACGCCGGCAACGGUGAAACUCAAAGGAAUUGACGGGGGCCCGCACAAGCGGAGGAGCAUGUGGUUUAAUUCGAUGAUACGCGAGGAACCUUACCUGGGCUUGAAAGUUAGUGACCGUCUCUGAAAGGAGAUUUUUCCGCAAGGACACGAAACUAGGUGCUGCAUGGCUGUCGU
RNAcentral lists this ribosomal RNA (260 nucleotides) under uncultured bacterium. RNAcentral's name for it is "partial 16S ribosomal RNA". It matches the Rfam family "Bacterial small subunit ribosomal RNA", at positions 793 to 1055 of the family's 1533-position model. The record is from RNAcentral.